GAGCGUAAUCCAGCAACCGAGGACGUAUAGGAAAACUCGAAGAACUUUCGAAACGAGGAUUAUUAAGAAAUCAAAAAGAUUUACGGUACUUCCAUUCUUGAGUAAAUACCGAAACUAAUAUCGAACAAAGUUGUGAUUUAUGAUAGAAUCUUUAUCGAACAGCUAACUUGAAAAUAUCGAGUUUAAGUUGUAAGCGAGUAAGUUCCAGAGUCUCCUUCGUGGGCCACGGUGCUCAAGAAGAUUAUAAAAAGUUAUAAAAGUGCGUUGUUGGAAGUUAAGAAUUAUAUUCUAGGAUUACUGAAAUCCCUUUAUUAAGAUGUAUACUUGUAAACAGAACGAAUGGUUUAUUGACGAAAUUUUUGACUUUACAUUUACAUUUUUCUUGUUAUCAGAUGAAACAAAUUUUUCAAGAAAGUUUCGAAGUGGCUGUCGGUUCAUCUGAUUUCCACAUUAUCACCCAAAAAGACAAGUGGGACGCAUAUGUUCCAAUUUCCUACGCCACUGCUUUCUACAAAUAUUUAAUCUCACGGUUGAUAUAUGCGUGAGUGAAAAACAAAAAUGUGUGGAAAGGAAAAAGGCAGUGGACAAAGAGGGGUUAAAGAGGGAGAUUAGAUGACUCAACUUUAUUUUCCGAUAACUAGCUAACCAAUUAUACAAAAUAAAUGUCUCUAGAGUUCAAAGCUACUACCUCUAAAUAAAAAUCUCUCGCAGCAACGUUCAGCUGACGAGAUUACUCGCAAUGUAAAAACGAAUUGCGAAUUGAAACUGAUUUAAAAUUGCACGAUGAACCAACCACUGGGUUCAGGGGGGGGCAGCAACCAAUUACCUGCAAGUUGGCAAACUUUUACCGUCAGGAUGCGGUCUAGAAACGAGAAAAGAAGAGAACGAAUCGAGACCUCGAUGAAAUCGCGAGUACGAGAUACGUGUGAUAAGUUAAUUCGAAACGAGUCGAGAAAGAGAGAGAGAAAGAAAAAAACGUUUUUGCAAACAAUUCGAUUUCCUUUCAAGAAACAAAUACACGUAGUCAGAUCUGUUCCUUCUCCUUUCGUGACGUUUCUAAUUAACGUGGAGUAUGUGACGGUUUCGAGGCCAUCGACGAGCGCGCGAGUAUCGAUAUUGCCUAAGUUUUUAUUCGUAAUAACUAUGCGCGAAGGAAGAAGAGAAACUCGAUUUUGCCAGCAAUUAACACAACAUUGUCGUAGCCGCGAAAAUAUUCUCUUCUCUUAUCGCUGUGUAUAAAUAUUCAUGUGUUUGUUUUUUCCGUUUCACUUUGUAUACAUACGUAUUAUUAUAAUAUUGCACAUCAUUAUUACAUUUAUCUGGAUACUAAUUUAUCUAUCUACGUAUUUAUCUUCGUGUACUUUAGCUUCGUGUAAUCUAUACCUAUCGAUUAUCGUUUCGACUCGAAUAAAUGAUGAAAAAUUCGACUUGGACUUUUUGUUUAAAAUUAUGAGGUAGAAUAAUAUUAUUCUGAUCCAAGAAGAAGGAAAAUUAGACAAUCACGUGGCUGUAGAGUAAUUCGAUCGUGUAUGUUCGUCUUUCGAAUUUACCUCCAUCGAUAUCGUGGAAUAAAUAACUUGCAUAAUAUCGAUAUAAGAUACUCGCGAAGAUAGAACAAUGUACGCAGCCGGGAUGCAAGGAUAUUGCGUUUUUUUCUUUUUUAAAUAAGGAUGGAUUACGGUAAUCGUUGUAACAGGCGAACGACCACGGGUAAAAAUAUAAUCGACGAGCUUGGCCAAUCGAAACCUUUGGAAGGACGUAAUGAAAACGGAGAUGAGCAAUAAAAUUAUGUUUUAUAAAAGUGCCUUUUUAUGUCAUUCGACGUAUACCGGGAUACGGAUCUCGAUAGAUUCGAGUAUGGUGAUUCGUUAAGUACUACGCACUACCUUUGCUCGUUGUUUUUCUCGGCCGGUGUUCGUAUUGCGUAAGCGAUUUAUGAACCGGCGAGAAAAGGAAAAACACGUUGCAUUAGCCUUCUCGAGGAUAAUAAAUACAAUCUGAAUCCGAAAACAGCGAUCGAUAGGACAUUUGACGGAUGCAUGCGUUUAACUACAUGUUUUAAACAUUAUAACUCGGUUAUGAGUCACGCAGUUGGUUAAAUAUCACAGUGGUCAAUUUUCAUGCGAGGCAAGAAAUCGUUUGAGAAACACUUUUAAUUUAAGUUUCGGUAAAAUGGUCAUCGUAGAUCAGACCGUUUCAAAUUUUUUUUAAUGAAAUUACACCUUUUCCAUAGUGCUUAAUUUCUGCCGAAAGCUAAUUCAAUUGGGUUCUUGAGUAACGCGUAAUCAAAUAAAACCUCUUGUAAGACUUUAAAAAGUGUUGAACUCAAUUCCACGACCCGGAAUCCAACAACGAGAUAAACAUCAUUGAUCGCUUUCGCAGCGUAAAAUUCAGACUACGAUUAAUUUAUAUUCGAAGCGAUUCGAAUCGUUAUUAAAUUAACGAUUCUUAGCAUCUUAUCGAUCAAUAUAAGAAUUGCAAGCUCAGAAUGAAGUUUCGGAAGAACAACUUGCUCUCUAAACGUCCUGAACCUGAUCGACCACGAUAAGACGGGCCAGUUGAAUGAAACUGGAUCGCGCAAACUCGAUUGGAGACGAUAUCUCUGGACUUGGUCCUGGCAAACGCGACGAAAAGCGAUGUCAAGGAACUUUCGUCACUGGAUGCCGGUCAAUCGAUAACGCUUUUUGCAUGCGUGUCGACCAGCUGGCCGAGGAAAGCGUAAAUGCACACACUGUUGCAUAAGUAUCCGGUGUGCGAAGAGCUGGCGACCUUGGAAUAUCAAAUACUGGAAACGUAAGAUGAGCACGUAAAGGCGAUGAUUCGCGAGCCUCUUGUUCCCUCUCGAGCCACGAAUUAAUCGUGCGAGACAAGGAAUUUGAUGGGAUCGGGAAAUGAUCACGAUAACGAUAACGGUUCGCGAAGAAAAAUUAAGGAAAUUUCGUAAGAAACGAUGAAGUCAUGUUUUUAGUCGGGAUAGUAUAAAUGUUAGAAAUAUUCGUGUAAUUAAUUAGAGAAAUUUUUAAAGAAAGAUUAUAUUUGUGAAUCAAUUGUUUAUUCAUUCUCCAUUCUUUCAGAUUGAUUUAACUUUAACUUGUUUUUCUUUGUGUUUUCUUCAUGAUCGAAGUGAUGUCUAUAAAAAAGAAAUCUGCAUCCUUUUAUGAUUAUUCCAAGGCUGUUUUUUUUUUUUUUUUAAGUUCGAAGGCUAGCCUUCUUUUAUCUUAGUAUCAGAAACACGAAAAUGUAUCAAUCUAUUUUUAAUUCGAAAAAAAAUAUAUUCUUUAAACGAAAAUCAUCGCUUCCUUAUUGCUCAAACGUCGUUAUCUAAAUCUUUGAUUAAAAUUUUACGAUAAAAGAAAAAAAUCUUGGAUAAUCUUCUUCGUUCGACCUUCGACAGAAUUAAAAUAAUACGAUAAAGAGAUUUUAUCCUUCGGAAUUGUUUUAACUGCAGAAUUUGUUAUCAAGUAAUAGAUUACUCUAUAUCUUAAUAACCUUCAAUUUGAAACUUUGAUGAUAAUAAUAAUAAUAAUAAUAAUAAU
Molecule: long non-coding RNA, 3536 nt
Organism: Apis cerana (Asiatic honeybee)
Lineage: Eukaryota; Metazoa; Arthropoda; Insecta; Hymenoptera; Apidae
Source: RefSeq, a predicted model, not a curated record